GUAAAUAAUGACGUCAAUUUACACAAAAAAAUGUUUUUGAAAUUCAUUGUAUUCUCAACAAUUAAAUAAUAAAUAUCAAAAUAACAUAUUUCAUAAUAUUACUAAUAAUUAUCGAUAUUGAUAACAUUUUUGAAAUAUUUGGCAUACCAUGAACAUGAAACAAUAUAUUUAAACUCAACGUUAUCUCAAAACUUGUUAAAAGUCACUUUUAAACUUUUACAACAUGUUAAACAUCAAAAUAUUUAAUAUUUUAAUAUUUCUAAGCAUUAUUUCAUUGAUUAAAAGCAAAGGUACCGUAAAAGAUUUUGAAAAUUAUAAAGCUACACCAUCUGAGCAACUCCUAUGGAUAAGAUACUGUCAAAAACAAAUGUUGGAUUACAUCUAUGAUGAUUUCAAGAUGUAUGGUAGGAAAUUAUACUUGGAGGUACCUUAUACAGUCCCAUUUGAAUGUGAAUUUAAUUACUUGAAUCACCAAGGAAUCAAAAUAAGAAUUACUAUGGAAAUGUGUGGUGUGGAAUGGAACGCACCUACGGAUACUUGGGCUGAUUGUGGAACGGUUGCUGAGCCACCUAAACAUACCUGUAAUAUUACUGGUGAGGCUGUGUUACGAGCUGAUAUUCUUGAGCAUAAGUAUACGAUAAAAUUGGUUAAGGUUGAUACUGGGGUGUGUCCUGUUCCGGAACCUCCAAAAUGUGAUGUUAAUAGACAUGUUGUUACUGAUACCUUGGGAGUAAUGGGGGAUCUAAUGUUUAUAAGCAAAGAGUUGAUUUUUAUUGUGAUGGGGAUGUUUUGAAGUAUAGUCAGGAUUUGGUGAUAUGUGGGAAUGGGAGGUUUUUAUUGCCACCAGGGUCUAAAAGUUGUUAAAAACCAAAUAAUAACAAAUGAAAAACAUUUUUGUUAUUAUUUUUAGUUAUUAGGGUUCCUUUAUUAAUUUUGUUUGUAAUGGGUCGAAGGCCAGAACCGUUAAUCUGCGCCCGCAGCUUGCAUUCGCUCUUUUACUUACCCCCACUCCAAUUUGCGGGUUGACCGCUGAGUACUAGGUUCCCCUUUCUCUUAGGAGCCGAGUUAAGCAGUAUAGACUCUAGGUUUCCUUCUCUAAGUAAGCAGAAAGUACUUUAUUAACAUAAACAAUAAAAUAAGCAAAGAAAACUUGAGAAAUGCUCUUUAAACAGUAAAAAAUACUUUUAUUGCAAUGAUAAUAUCUUGGAGAAUUGUCUAGAGAUGAUUAUAAAGAGAAAAAUUGAUUUUUAUUACUCCCAGGGUCAAUGUCUACUUAAAAAAAAAAACAAUAAAACAAUACUUAAACAAUACUUAACCUAUUCUUCCACAGUUUAAAUACCUAAUUUGUAUUUAACCUCACUUUUAAGCUUUUAACUCUUAAAAAAGUACAUUCCACGUGUAAAACUAAACUUUCUCUUAUUAUAUUAUACAUUCUACUAUUAAAUAAUCUCUAAUUGCAAUGACAGUAUAGCAACAACACAAUCUACAAAAAGAUGUGACCGGUUUAAAUCCGUCAAAAGAAUAAAACGCGCUGGAUGCACAACGCGCAUCUGACGCAACCGGCGAUGACAAACACGAGAAAUCCCCUUUAUCCGCGUGUGAGACUCACUCGACGGUCGCCUGUCGUUUCUCGUCGGCGCGUAAAUAUUUACACGGUUUUACAGAGUUGAGCAUCAGGGAGAUCUGAGAAUCUCUCGCGCUCGCCCCGACGCCGCCACCGCUUUAUUGCGGAUCGCACGUCUUGAUGCUGCGCGCUAUAAAUUUAAUUAAACCGUCAUCCCACACUCAGUAUCGUAUUGUCUCUCAUGCCACGCACGUUAGAACAACUUGCAAAUCCAACACUUUUUACAAAAGAAAUGAAUUUAACCAAGUUUUUAAUCGUAUUACUAUUGAUAUCUAUAAAUAUCACUAAUAGUUAUCAAUCAUCAUGGAUGGAUUGGUUUAAAAGUAGUGAUAACACAACACAAAUAGAACUCAAACCACAACCAAGAUCACUAAUUAAUAUCCCGUGUAAAAAGUGUUAUAGAAAGACGUUUUUCGGCAAGUGUCGUAAAAUUGCCAACUGCGAAUCGUGAUUUCAUCACAUCCAAGAUUAAUUUUUAUUGUGUUGUAUUCCGGCGGUGAUAUAAAGUGUUUGCUAAGCGAUUAGGCGUGCUCAGAGUUUAUGAGCGUUAUCAGCACGUCGACGGCGGCGGCAUUCGCGACUUUUCAGUGAUAAGUUAACAGUGACGCUGCGCGUGCCGCGACUUGCGCACGAUCUGCUUCCACUUACAUAAUUGAACUUAAUUAGUUUCCAUGUGCGCAUGUCGAAUUGCACCAACUGCGAACUUGUGAACGCACAUCAAAACACAACAAAUCGGUGGCGUAUCAGUUAAAAGCGAGCGUUGACGAUGAAUAACUUCCUUGUAUCGGUGUGGAUAUGCGUGAUUAUGACGGUGAUUGGUACAGAAGAGGUGCCUGCGUUCAUGCCGGCUGUGAAUUGGUUGAGUAUCAAGGGCACGCAGGAAAGGCUCAGUGCCAAACAGGCGCAUAUUGCUAAUAUCAUUACUUGUAAAGAGGGGCAAGUGUUGGAUGCGCAGGGGAAAUGCAGGCCGAAAUUUGGGGGAUUUUUACGUCGAAAAGGAUAAAAAUAAGAUUUGUCGAGGAGUUUUAACCUUUAUUAACAACUACCCACGCUUUGAAUACCAAAUUAUAGUAUUAUAGUAAUUUUACGUAAAUUAUAUUUUAAUGUUUAUUAAAUGUAAAUUAUUCGUUCUAUUUAUGUGUAUUGUUUAAUUGAAUAUUUUGCGGUUUUGUGCAAUAAAACAAUUUGUGUUUUUUAGUA
Long non-coding RNA from Dalotia coriaria, 2824 nucleotides. RefSeq lists it as uncharacterized. NCBI's taxonomy places the organism in Eukaryota, Metazoa, Arthropoda, Insecta, Coleoptera, Staphylinidae. The transcript has 2 exons. The record is from RefSeq and is a predicted model, not a curated record.